This 492-nucleotide ribosomal RNA is filed under the name uncultured bacterium. Its description in RNAcentral is "partial 16S ribosomal RNA". It matches the Rfam family "Bacterial small subunit ribosomal RNA", at positions 29 to 507 of the family's 1533-position model. The record is from RNAcentral.
AGUGAACGCUGGCGGUAGGCCUAACACAUGCAAGUCGAACGGCAGCACAGUAAGAGCUUGCUCUUACGGGUGGCGAGUGGCGGACGGGUGAGGAAUACAUCGGAAUCUACUUUUUCGUGGGGGAUAAUGUAGGGAAACUUACGCUAAUACCGCAUACGACCUACGGGUGAAAGCAGGGGAUCUUCGGACCUUGCGCGAUUCAAUGAGCCGAUGUCGGAUUAGCUAGUUUGCGGGGUAAAGGCCCACCAAGGCGACGAUCCGUAGCUGGUCUGAGAGGAUGAUCCGCCACACUGGAACUGAGACAAGGUCCAGACUCCUACGGGAGGCAGCAGUGGGGAAUAUUUGGCAAUGGGCGGAAGCCUGAUCCAGCCAUGCCGCGUGGGUGAAGAAGGUCUUCGGGUUGUAAAAGCCUUUUUUUUGGGAAGAAAAGCAGCAGGUUAAUACCCCGCUGUUCUGACGGUACCCAAAGAAUAAGCACCGGCUAACUUCGUG